GUGGGGAAUCUUGCGCAAUGGGCGAAAGCCUGACGCAGCCAUGCCGCGUGGAUGAUGAAGGUCUUAGGAUUGUAAAAUCCUUUCACCGGUGAAGAUAAUGACUGUAGCCGGAGAAGAAGCCCCGGCUAACUUCGUGCCAGCAGCCGCGGUAAUACGAAGGGGGCUAGCGUUGCUCGGAUUUACUGGGCGUAAAGGGCGCGUAGGCGGACAUUUAAGUCAGGGGUGAAAUCCCGGGGCUCAACCUCGGAACUGCCUUUGAUACUGGGUGUCUUGAGUAUGAGAGAGGUGUGUGGAACUCCGAGUGUAGAGGUGAAAUUCGUAGAUAUUCGGAGGAACACCAGUGGCGAAGGCGGCUCACUGGCUCGAUACUGACGCUGAGGUGCGAAAGCGUGGGGAGCAAACAGGAUUAGAAACCCGAGUAGUCC
This 425-nucleotide ribosomal RNA is filed under the name uncultured bacterium. Its description in RNAcentral is "partial 16S ribosomal RNA". It matches the Rfam family "Bacterial small subunit ribosomal RNA", at positions 354 to 796 of the family's 1533-position model. The record is from RNAcentral.